CUGUAAUAUUCUGAAAGCAUUGUCAUAUCCUUCAGGUUUAACUGGAAUGACAGUUUAGGUGUCAAAAUUUGAGACGUAAAGUUAAAUGCAGAGUAUUUCAGGAAGAGGAGUAGCAUUUGCAUAGCACAUGUCCAGAAGAUGACUGCUCAGCUGGAAGCAAUUCAAAUUACAAGAGCCUGAAGAAUAAGAAAGCUAGUUCAAGGAGCUGUGUUCCACUGUACAUGGUUUUCCGAGGGGAUCAAAAGAG
This 247-nucleotide long non-coding RNA is filed under the name Felis catus (domestic cat). Its description in RNAcentral is "lncRNA (ENSFCAG00000052055.1)". Lineage: Eukaryota; Metazoa; Chordata; Mammalia; Carnivora; Felidae. The record is from RNAcentral.